UCUUUGAUGGUCUAACGGUCAUGAUUUCCGCUUGUCAUCCAAGACAAGUCGCGGGAGAUCGGGGUUCGACUCCCCGUCAGAGAG
This 84-nucleotide transfer RNA is filed under the name Rhexocercosporidium sp. MPI-PUGE-AT-0058. It matches the Rfam family "tRNA". Rfam says of the family: Transfer RNA (tRNA) molecules are approximately 80 nucleotides in length. Lineage: Eukaryota; Fungi; Ascomycota; Leotiomycetes; Helotiales. The record is from Rfam by way of RNAcentral.